UGGGGAAUAUUGCACAAUGGGCGAAAGCCUGAUGCAGCAACGCCGCGUGAAGGAUGAAGUAUUUCGGUAUGUAAACUUCUAUCAGCAGGGAAGAUAACGACGGUACCUGACUAAGAAGCCCCGGCUAACUACGUGCCAGCAGCCGCGGUAAUACGUAGGGGGCAAGCGUUAUCCGGAUUUACUGGGUGUAAAGGGAGCGUAGGCGGCAGCGCAAGUCAGAAGUGAAAGCCCGGGGCUUAACUCCGGGACUGCUUUUGAAACUGUGCGGCUAGAUUUCAGGAGAGGUAAGCGGAAUUCCUAGUGUAGCGGUGAAAUGCGUAGAUAUUAGGAGGAACACCAGUGGCGAAGGCGGCUUACUGGACUGACAAUGACGCUGAGGCUCGAAAGCGUGGGGAGCAAACAGG
This 404-nucleotide ribosomal RNA is filed under the name uncultured Coprococcus sp. RNAcentral describes it as "bacterial SSU rRNA". It matches the Rfam family "Bacterial small subunit ribosomal RNA", at positions 355 to 776 of the family's 1533-position model. The record is from RNAcentral. Lineage: Bacteria; Bacillati; Bacillota; Clostridia; Lachnospirales; Lachnospiraceae.